This is a long non-coding RNA of Carassius carassius (crucian carp), 313 nucleotides long. RefSeq lists it as uncharacterized. NCBI's taxonomy places the organism in Eukaryota, Metazoa, Chordata, Actinopteri, Cypriniformes, Cyprinidae. The record is from RefSeq and is a predicted model, not a curated record. The transcript is spliced from 3 exons.
AUUUCAUGUUAUCAGUUGUUGUUGUUUUUUUACUAAGAGUAAAAUAAUGUUUGUUUUUUGUUUUUGUAGAUGUUAAAAGCCAGAGACAUGGGAGAGCAUCAUUCUUUUGAGAUUUUAUAACUCAAACCAACUUUGGAGUUGUCUUGUCUGAUUUGGAGAGUCAUCAUUCUUGGUCUUCCUUCUUAAAGGCCACUGAUGAAGAGCAGGCGGUGACUGAGAUGAAUGCUGGUCAAAGAAGAGAACAUCCUUUCCCCUAAACUGAUGCAGCAGUGGUUUUAAAGGAAGACCCUGCCCUGGAUGAUGUAGAAGAUAU